RNAcentral lists this unclassified non-coding RNA (847 nucleotides) under Hevea brasiliensis (rubber tree). Lineage: Eukaryota; Viridiplantae; Streptophyta; Magnoliopsida; Malpighiales; Euphorbiaceae. The record is from RNAcentral.
GGGUCUCAGAGUCCAGAAUCUUCAGGUGCAUCUUUUUAAUCUUUAAUUAGAAGUCAUAUAUAUGCACAUAUGUCACUUUUAACUCUAUUGUUUUCAUGCUCAUUUCCACAAGCCUCCCCUUCUUCUACUUUCCUUCCCUUCUUACGGCAUCUCAUGCUCUCCUUAUGAAACUCCAUUUCUUGCGCAUUAAAUCUUUCUCCAAACACCUUUUCGGCUUAAAAUCGGCCUAAUUUGGACCCAUAGCACCUCUAGCCUACCCAUAGCAUAUGAACGGUACGUAGCUCUGUUACAGUUGGUCACAUUCGAUAAAACACCAUCACCUACUUCUUAAUGUGAUGAUUUUGCCUAGUUCCAAGAAACCCAGAUUGUAAUGAAGAAGGGAAAGAAAAUGAGGGGAGUGGAGGAACGCAAAGAGUACCAGAAUCUUUUUACCUCUUUCCCAUUUUCUUGGGCUACUGGCAAUGGUAAUUGUUAAUGAUGGUGAUUGAUUUCCCUUAUUGCUUUUGCUUGACGCACCAUCAUAAAACUUGCCUUGGUGGCGACAGAGGCGACAACGACAAACAACUUUUAAAAGGUGGUGGAGGCGUUCAACAACAAAGAGACAAGGCAUUAAAUGGUGCUUAGGGAAGGGCGAAAGGGAAAAGGGGUUUGCUUACGGAGAAGAAAGUAAAGAAAAUGAGGGGGGAGUGGAUGAACUGCUCUCAAUUACUUGGUUGUCGGUGACAUUGUGCAGUACUGCCAUUUUUUAACAUAAUUCUCUCUGUUUCUUAUCUCCUCUUAUUUUGUGAGACUAUAUUUCCUGUUGAAUGUAAUUCCCUCUACCUGUUGAAAUUGUUCCUAUAAAAUC